This 253-nucleotide ribosomal RNA is filed under the name uncultured bacterium. Its description in RNAcentral is "partial 16S ribosomal RNA". It matches the Rfam family "Bacterial small subunit ribosomal RNA", at positions 524 to 776 of the family's 1533-position model. The record is from RNAcentral.
UACAGAGGUGGCGAGCGUUGUUCGGAUUUAUUGGGCGUAAAGGGUCCGUAGGCGGCCCGGAAAGUCGGAUGUGAAAUCCCACAGCCUAACUGUGGAACUGCAUUCGAAACUUCCAGGCUCGAGCGCAGGAGGGGUGAAGGGAAUUCCCGGUGUAAGGGUGAAAUCUGCAGAGAUCGGGAGGAACACCAGUCGCGAAGGCGCUUCACUGGCCUGCUGCUGACGCUCAGGGACGAAAGCCAGGGUAGCAAACGGG